This 253-nucleotide ribosomal RNA is filed under the name uncultured bacterium. RNAcentral describes it as "partial 16S ribosomal RNA". It matches the Rfam family "Bacterial small subunit ribosomal RNA", at positions 524 to 776 of the family's 1533-position model. The record is from RNAcentral.
UACGAAGGGGGCUAGCGCUGUUCGGCCGUACUGGGCGCAAAGGGCGCGUGGGCGGCGCGUUAAGUCAGGUGUGAAAGCCCUGGGCUCAACCCAGGAAUUGCACUUGAUACUGACGUGCUUGAAUCCGGAAGAGGAUGACGGAAUUCCCAGUGUAGAGGUGAAAUUCAUUGAUAUUGGGAAGAACACCAGUGGCGAAGGCGGUCAUCUGGUCCGGUAUUGACGCUGAGGCGCGAAAGCGUGGGGAGCAAACAGG